GGAGAAAAUGCCUGAAAAAUUCUAAUAGUAUUCUGGGAGAUGCCUUUACAUGUCAACACAGUAGAGGAAAAAUCAACGGUGACGAGAGAAGAAGAGCUUGGGUAAUCUCAAACACGAUAUUUAAUCGAUUUUGUCAUUUUCUGUGUCUUUCUGUCCCUUCUUG
Molecule: long non-coding RNA, 163 nt
Filed under: Mus spicilegus (steppe mouse)
Lineage: Eukaryota; Metazoa; Chordata; Mammalia; Rodentia; Muridae
Description: lncRNA (ENSMSIG00000015622.1)
Source: RNAcentral